Paramuricea clavata is the source of this 487-nucleotide non-coding RNA. Lineage: Eukaryota; Metazoa; Cnidaria; Anthozoa; Malacalcyonacea; Plexauridae. The record is from the annotation of a GenBank genome assembly.
CCGUUAAGUCCAGCAGAUUUAAUAUUUAAUAACUUUUUUUGCUAUUAAAUCCACAUGUUCAUUCCAUGUCAAGCAUUCAUCAAUAACAAUACCAAGGAAUGUGGUAUUUUUUACCUGUUUUAAUUUUUCUUUGUUUAUUUCUAUUGUUACAUCAAAAUUCUGUUUUUUGUUAUAAGAUCUAAAUAGAAUAAACUUUGUUUUUGAAGUAUCUAUAGAUAAUUAAUUUAUAUUUAACCAUUCAUUUAUUAAUUUCUACUUGCAUAAUUUCAUUUAAUGUUUUAAGACAUUUGUUACUCUGAGAUAUCGUUGUGUCAUCCGCAAAUAAUAUAAAUGAAACUAUUUUACUGCAAUGCUGUAUAUAAUUGCUUUGUUUAGGAAACAAAUUCAACCGUUUUUUACUUCAUGUUUGGUUCAGCUAUUGCUUUUAGUUAUGCUAAUUACGGAUUGUAAUUGUGCGUUUGUGACACCCCAUAAAAGAAAAAAAAAA